CAGUAGCCGCGGUAAUACGUAGGUGGCAAGCGUUGUUCGGAUUCAUUGGGCGUAAAGGGUGCGUAGGCGGUUCCGUAAGUCGGAUGUGAAAUCCUGGGGCUCAACCCCAGAACUGCAUUCGAUACUGCGGGGCUAGAGGACUGGAGAGGAGAGUGGAAUUCACGGUGUAGCGGUGAAAUGCGUAGAGAUGUGGAGGAACACCAGUGGCGAAGGCGACUCUCUGGUCUGUAACUGACGCUGAGGAGCGAAAGCGUGGGGAGCGAACAGGAUUAGAUACCCGCGUAGUCCCUGUCUCUUAUAC
This 301-nucleotide ribosomal RNA is filed under the name uncultured bacterium. RNAcentral's name for it is "partial 16S ribosomal RNA". It matches the Rfam family "Bacterial small subunit ribosomal RNA", at positions 509 to 807 of the family's 1533-position model. The record is from RNAcentral.